This is a long non-coding RNA of Sardina pilchardus (European sardine), 561 nucleotides long. RefSeq lists it as uncharacterized. The record is from RefSeq and is a predicted model, not a curated record. The transcript has 4 exons. NCBI's taxonomy places the organism in Eukaryota, Metazoa, Chordata, Actinopteri, Clupeiformes, Clupeidae.
CACGCUACAGCCACCGGCAGUUGUUAUUCGGUCGAAAUCAUUUAAGUACUGAACAUUGAAACACUAUUGCCACCAUUUCUGUAGCCAGCUGCUGGUUCUUCUGCUGGUAGCACUAUCUUCAUACCACUAUCAACAACAGUUAGCUGCUACGACUUCUCCGAUCCCUUGGAUAACGGUUUUUUCGCUGAUGGAGUGCUGAAACGGCGGUGACUGAGGGCUCACUGUCAUUCACAAGUGGGUCCAGUCUGGUUUGGGGGUCUACCCUUUCUCAUCAUGUCCUGCUACCCAAUAAAAAGGGAAAUAACUAAAGGCCUCUGCAGCUGCUUUUACAGAUGCUGUGAGAGUCAUGCCCUGUGCAGCGGCUUCUGAUUCAGUACAGCAGUUCAAUCAGCCCAGCAAACAGGAAAAACAGUUAAAUGUGUUUUAACACAUUUAACAGUUAAAACAGUUAAAUGUGUUUUAACUGUCAGCAUCCCUACCCAAAAAAGAUCAGGCUACUGUUAUUUCCAACUAAGAAAAAAAAUGGUCUGGUUUGAAGGUUAUCUGUGUUUUGAAGCAUGU